ACCCAGGUUCCAAGCACCCUAAGCUUUAGCCUCCACCCCUCCCCUGACCAAAUUCACCUGAUGGGACAUGUUGGCACCAGCUUGCCUGUCUCCAGGGGAAGGGCAGAGCCUACUCACUUGUGAAGAGCGACAGGGAAGGGGAGUCAAUAAUAGUGAACUUGGCUCCAGGGUCGUUCCGUCGCCACUGGAAGAGAGAGGCACCUCAAAGUAGUACCUCUGGGAGGCCACCAGGCUGGCAGGAGGGAGCAAAGACACAGAAGGAGCUUCACUUUUAAUGCUGGCCUGGAGUCUCCACGCUGCCACUUACUCACAGUGUGACCUCAGCAUUCUCUUCUGUAAGACGGCCGUAAGAACAGUACACACUUCACAGGAGAAUCAGGAGAAUCCACAGAAAUACAGAUCUUCCUCAACUUAGGAUAGGGUUAUGUUCUAAUAAACUU
Molecule: long non-coding RNA, 440 nt
Organism: Canis lupus familiaris (dog)
Lineage: Eukaryota; Metazoa; Chordata; Mammalia; Carnivora; Canidae
Exons: 3
Source: RefSeq, a predicted model, not a curated record